Myotis daubentonii (Daubenton's bat) is the source of this 1479-nucleotide long non-coding RNA. RefSeq lists it as uncharacterized. The transcript is spliced from 2 exons. NCBI's taxonomy places the organism in Eukaryota, Metazoa, Chordata, Mammalia, Chiroptera, Vespertilionidae. The record is from RefSeq and is a predicted model, not a curated record.
CGCCGCCGCGGCCGCCGCCUCCCGCCGCCUGGGUCCCGGCCCGCGCAGCGACCCCUGCCGGCCGGCCGGGCGCGGCCCGACCCCGGGUGCCUCCCGGGAGGCGGCGGCGGGAGCCCGGGAGCGGCGGCUGCUUCCGGGCCGGCGCCCGCUGCCGGGACCGCUCGGACCCUGUUCUCGUGGCCUCUCCGCCCGGGAAGCGGCUCCUCUCUACGCUCCCCAAGGGGGCGCCGUAGCCGGCACCGCGCGCAUCCCGAGCCCCUCGGAGCCUGGGACCGGGAGCCCAGACCCCCCUCCCCGAGAUGUCCCCGCCUCUCACCCGGGGAGACCGUGCGAACGCUUCCCGAGCCGCCCCUCAUGCCCCGUCCCAGCGCCUCUCCCUCCUCCAUCCCGGGGUCCCCGGGCCGCCACCCUCGGGGCCAGCCCCUGCCCGCCAGCUGCUUCCUUUGCAGGCAACGCCGUCGCCUCCUACAGAGCGUUGCGCUCCCUGAGACCCCGAGUCUUCGCUGGGUGGGUGGCCCUCCCAGCCGGGGUCCCCCGUCCCCCCAAUGUUGCCCUUUGAGCGGCAGAGCAGGGAGGUGAGGAGCGGGGAGGGGGCGCGCGGUCUGCGGGCGUGCGUCCGCGCCGGGCGGACUCCUUCUGUAAGUGCGAGGCCGGCUGCAGUUUUGGGAGUCACGGUGGCCGAGUGGUUAAGGCGUUGGACUCGAAAUCCAAUGGGGUUUCCCCGCACAGGUUCGAAUCCUGUUCGUGACGGCCGCUUUUUUCUCCCCCUUUUCCCUUCAGGACCCGUAAAGGGAACCCCUUGUUUUCGCACAUGUCUCAUGCACUUACCUUUCUGCCUUGGAAAGUGAAGCCGGAAGGUCUCACCCUUGGAUUUGGGGGAAAUGGGGGCGAUCUUGGAAGCUUAUUGUCCACAACCAUAUCGGCUGCUAGUAUACAAGGCACUCUCAGAACUCGGUAACUGCAGGUUUGCUAGCCGAACUUUGACGUCGUUUCAUGCUUUCGGUAGGGAACAGCAAAGGAUUUGAAAAAGGGUUACGUUUUGUUUGGGAAUGUGAAUACCUGUUGUGCUGUCAUAGUCAAAACUGAAGUUUCCAGGGGAGAGGGCGCCUCUGGAUUUGAUGACCGGAAGUCAUGUCUGGAUCGAGUGCAAGCUGGGCCUACCGCUAGCCGGAGCCUUUAUUUGGAAAGUCGGAGUUCUUGUGAGAACUACAUGAGUUAUAUGUAAAGCUGUACCACAGCCUGCACAAUGUAGCCGGAGACCUUAAAACUUUCCACAGCUGCCCUAGCUGGCUUGGCUCAGUAGAUAGAGUGUUGGCCUGCAGACUGAAGAGUUGUGGGUUCAACUCCGGUCAGGGGCAUAUGCCCGGGUGUGCAGGAGGCAAGUGAUCAAUGGUUCUCUCUCAUCACUGAUGUUUCAAUCUCUCUAGCCCUCUCUCUUCCUCUCUGAAAUCAAUAAAAAUAUAUUUUUAAAAAACUCUC